This 256-nucleotide unclassified non-coding RNA is filed under the name uncultured fungus. Its description in RNAcentral is "partial contains 5.8S ribosomal RNA, internal transcribed spacer 2, and large subunit ribosomal RNA". The stretch from base 1 to 52 matches the Rfam family "5.8S ribosomal RNA", at positions 103 to 154 of the family's 154-position model. Lineage: Eukaryota; Fungi. The record is from RNAcentral.
AACGCACCUUGCGCCCUCUGGUAUUCCGGAGGGCAUGCCUGUUUGAGUGUCAUGAAUACCUCACCCCUUCGGGUUUCCGACCGGGUGGAUUUGGGUGCGUGCCAGUGACAUGGCUCACCUUAAAUGCAUUAGCAACUGUGGACGUGAUAAGUUUCGUCUUGUGCGGCUGCUUCCAAUCUCCCUUGAGUGGGAUGUCUUGCAGAAGACAACUUCUAUGAUCGACCUCAAAUCAGGUAGGACUACCCGCUGAACUUAA